UCUUGGUCAUUUAGAGGAAGUAAAAGUCGUAACAAGGUUUCCGUAGGUGAACCUGCGGAAGGAUCAUUAUCGUACAACAGGAGGUGCCGAGGUUAUCGCUGACCCUAGGUCGUGCACGCCUCGAGCAUUCUUACUCCUCAUCCACUUCACCCCUUGUGCAUCCCCGCGUGGGCUCUCUCGAAAGAGAGAGCCGGCGUCAUUACACAAACACAAAGUAGCAGUAGAAUGUUCUUUGCAUUUGUAUGCAGUUAAUACAACUUUCAGCAACGGAUCUCUUGGCUCUCGCAUCGAUGAAGAACGCAGCGAAAUGCGAUAAGUAAUGUGAAUUGCAGAAUUCAGUGAAUCAUCGAAUCUUUGAACGCACCUUGCACUCCUUGGUAUUCCGAGGAGUAUGCCUGUUUGAGUGUCAUGAAAUCAUCAACCUCAUAGUUUUAUUACCCUGAGGCUUGGACUUGGAAGCUGCUGGCUUAUGUCGGCUCUUCUUAAAUAUAUUAGCUGCUUGUCCGUGAGUUGGCUCAGAGUGUGAUAAGUAUCUACACUUGGUGGCUGCUCGCAUUGGAUGUGGCUUCUAAUCGUCUUCGGACAAUUUUUUAAGAUCUGACCUCAAAUCAGGUAGGACUACCCGCUGAACUUAAGCAUAUCAAUAAGCGGAGGAA
Molecule: ribosomal RNA, 656 nt
Filed under: Basidiomycota sp. 3 RB-2011
Lineage: Eukaryota; Fungi; Basidiomycota
Description: eukaryotic LSU rRNA
Rfam family: 5.8S ribosomal RNA (bases 256-409)
Source: RNAcentral